RNAcentral lists this small nuclear RNA (156 nucleotides) under Cyprinodon variegatus (sheepshead minnow). RNAcentral's name for it is "U1 spliceosomal RNA (ENSCVAG00000020070.1)". It matches the Rfam family "U1 spliceosomal RNA". From Rfam's summary of the family: U1 is a small nuclear RNA (snRNA) component of the spliceosome (involved in pre-mRNA splicing). The record is from Rfam by way of RNAcentral. Lineage: Eukaryota; Metazoa; Chordata; Actinopteri; Cyprinodontiformes; Cyprinodontidae.
AUGCUUACCUGGCAGAGGCGAUACUUUGCUCAUGGUUCACCCAGAGAGAGGCUCGGCUGUAGCACCCCGGCUGUGCUGACCUUUGCCAAUUUCCCAAAUGAGGGAAUCUCUACUGCAUAGUUUUUGAUAAUUGGUGACUACAUACGUGCUCUCUAC